UACUAGAGUAGCACUCGCAUAUCAAUAAGCGGAGGAAAAGAAACUAACAAGGAUUCCCCUAGUAACGGCGAGUGAAGCGGGAAGAGCUCAAAUUUGAAAUCUUAAAGGGUUUCCCUUUACGAAUUGUAGUUUAAAGAAGUGUUUUCUGUUGAGGUUUUGGUAAAAGUUCUUUGGAAUAGGACAUCAUAGAGGGUGAGAAUCCCGUAUUUGACCUUUACUUUCAACUAUUGUGAUACACUUUCAAAGAGUCGGAUUGUUUGGGAAUGCAGUCCAAAAUGGGUGGUAAAUUUCAUCUAAAGCUAAAUAUUGGCGAGAGACCGAUAGCGAACAAGUACCGUGAGGGAAAGAUGAAAAGAACUUUGAAAAGAGAGUUAAACAGUACGUGAAAUUGUCAAAAGGGAAGCGUUUGACACCAGUGUUGUUUUUCUGAAAAUCAAUUAAAGAACUGUUUAUGCUAAGCUGUUUAGACUUUAUCAGCUAUCUGUUUAGUUUUGAGCUUUUCUUUAAUGCACUUUUCAGUUAACAAGUCAACAUCAAUUUCUUUUGCUGUAAAAAAGCUUGAGGAAGGUGGCUUGAGAUUCGUCUUAAGUGUUUAUAGCCUCUUGCCUAUGCAGUCGGAGAGAUUGAGGUCUGCAGCGUAGAUCCUUCGGGGCUAAAUGCAUUUGUGCUAAGAUAUAGCAUUUUAUAGACAACUUGUUGACUAUGAUUUGUCUUGUAGCUUACUCGCUUAUGUUAUUUUACCUACGCUUAGGAUGUUGAGCGCAUGUCUCUCUCU
Molecule: ribosomal RNA, 775 nt
Filed under: uncultured Neocallimastigales
Lineage: Eukaryota; Fungi; Neocallimastigomycota; Neocallimastigomycetes; Neocallimastigales
Description: partial large subunit ribosomal RNA
Rfam family: Eukaryotic large subunit ribosomal RNA
Source: RNAcentral